This 586-nucleotide ribosomal RNA is filed under the name uncultured bacterium. RNAcentral's name for it is "partial 16S ribosomal RNA". It matches the Rfam family "Bacterial small subunit ribosomal RNA", at positions 355 to 937 of the family's 1533-position model. The record is from RNAcentral.
UGGGGAAUUUUGGACAAUGGGCGAAAGCCUGAUCCAGCAAUGCCGCGUGUGUGAAGAAGGCCUUCGGGUUGUAAAGCACUUUUGUCCGGAAAGAAAUCCUUGGCUCUAAUACAGUCGGGGGAUGACGGUACCGGAAGAAUAAGCACCGGCUAACUACGUGCCAGCAGCCGCGGUAAUACGUAGGGUGCAAGCGUUAAUCGGAAUUACUGGGCGUAAAGCGUGCGCAGGCGGUUUGCUAAGACCGAUGUGAAAUCCCCGGGCUCAACCUGGGAACUGCAUUGGUGACUGGCAGGCUAGAGUAUGGCAGAGGGGGGUAGAAUUCCACGUGUAGCAGUGAAAUGCGUAGAGAUGUGGAGGAAUACCGAUGGCGAAGGCAGCCCCCCUGGGCCAAUACUGACGCUCAUGCACGAAAGCGUGGGGAGCAAACAGGAUUAGAUACCCUGGUAGUCCACGCCCUAAAACGAUGUCAACUAGUUGUUGGGGAUUCAUUUCCUUAGUAACGUAGCUAACGCGUGAAGUUGACCGCCUGGGGAGUACGGUCGCAAGAUUAAAACUCAAAGGAAUUGACGGGGUCAUAGCGUUUCCU